Molecule: transfer RNA, 67 nt
Filed under: Pallenopsis patagonica
Lineage: Eukaryota; Metazoa; Arthropoda; Pycnogonida; Pantopoda; Pallenopsidae
Description: tRNA-Val
Source: RNAcentral
UGAGAGUAAUCUUUAGGUAAGAAUUUUAUUUACAGUAAAAACUUCUCGUUCAAUUCGAGGCUUUUAA